AAAGCUUUAAGUUAAAAUAAACUAUUAACCUUCAAAGUUAAAUAUAUUUCAUUAAAAUAAGCUUUA
This 66-nucleotide transfer RNA is filed under the name Catacanthus incarnatus. Its description in RNAcentral is "tRNA-Trp". Lineage: Eukaryota; Metazoa; Arthropoda; Insecta; Hemiptera; Pentatomidae. The record is from RNAcentral.